UAGGGAAUCUUCGGCAAUGGGGGCAACCCUGACCGAGCAACGCCGCGUGAGUGAAGAAGGUUUUCGGAUCGUAAAGCUCUGUUGUAAGAGAAGAACGAGUGUGAGAGUGGAAAGUUCACACUGUGACGGUAUCUUACCAGAAAGGGACGGCUAACUACGUGCCAGCAGCCGCGGUAAUACGUAGGUCCCGAGCGUUGUCCGGAUUUAUUGGGCGUAAAGCGAGCGCAGGCGGUUAGAUAAGUCUGAAGUUAAAGGCUGUGGCUUAACCAUAGUACGCUUUGGAAACUGUUUAACUUGAGUGCAAGAGGGGAGAGUGGAAUUCCAUGUGUAGCGGUGAAAUGCGUAGAUAUAUGGAGGAACACCGGUGGCGAAAGCGGCUCUCUGGCUUGUAACUGACGCUGAGGCUCGAAAGCGUGGGGAGCAAACAGGAUUAGAUACCCUGGUAGUCCACGCCGUAAACGAUGAGUGCUAGGUGUUAGACCCUUUCCGGGGUUUAGUGCCGCAGCUAACGCAUUAAGCACUCCGCCUGGGGAGUACGACCGCAAGGUUG
Molecule: ribosomal RNA, 550 nt
Filed under: uncultured bacterium
Lineage: Bacteria
Description: bacterial SSU rRNA
Rfam family: Bacterial small subunit ribosomal RNA
Source: RNAcentral